This 233-nucleotide ribosomal RNA is filed under the name uncultured bacterium. RNAcentral's name for it is "partial 16S ribosomal RNA". It matches the Rfam family "Bacterial small subunit ribosomal RNA", at positions 103 to 334 of the family's 1533-position model. The record is from RNAcentral.
CGGGUGAGUAACGCGUGAGGAACCUGCCUCAAAGAGGGGGACAACAGUUGGAAACGACUGCUAAUACCGCAUAAGCCCACGGCUCGGCAUCGAGCAGAGGGAAAAGGAGCAAUCCGCUUUGAGAUGGCCUCGCGUCCGAUUAGCUGGUUGGUGAGGUAAUGGCCCACCAAGGCGACGAUCGGUAGCCGGACUGAGAGGUUGAACGGCCACAUUGGGACUGAGACACGGUCCAA